Molecule: ribosomal RNA, 467 nt
Filed under: uncultured bacterium
Lineage: Bacteria
Description: partial 16S ribosomal RNA
Rfam family: Bacterial small subunit ribosomal RNA
Source: RNAcentral
GACGAACGCUGGCGGCGUGCUUAACACAUGCAAGUCGAACGGAAAGGCCCUGCUUUUGUGGGGUGCUCGAGUGGCGAACGGGUGAGUAACACGUGAGUAACCUGCCCUUGACUUUGGGAUAACUUCAGGAAACUGGGGCUAAUACCGGAUAGGAGCUCCUGCUGCAUGGUGGGGGUUGGAAAGUUUCGGCGGUUUGGAUGGACUCGCGGCUUAUCAGCUUGUUGGUGGGGUAGUGGCUUACCAAGGCUUUGACGGGUAGCCGGCCUGAGAGGGUGACCGGCCACAUUGGGACUGAGAUACGGCCCAGACUCCUACGGGAGGCAGCAGUGGGGAAUAUUGCACAAUGGGCGGAAGCCUGAUGCAGCAACGCCGCGUGCGGGAUGACGGCCUUCGGGUUGUAAACCGCUUUCGCCUGUGACGAAGCGUGAGUGACGGUAAUGGGUAAAGAAGCACCGGCUAACUACGUG